UCUGGGUUCUAUGCAAAAGAGUAUAUGCUUGAUUUUCGUGCCGCUGUUCCUCUGCAUAUUGCUUACAGCUAUUUCAACGUUGUGUCCUUCUAUAGAUAGCUGAUGUUCACAAAAGCGAAUUUUGACGUCAUCAUCUAAGUAGAAGGCUGAUCAUCAUGGAUGCAUUGACCUUGGUGGCUCUUCAAAGUGACUGCAGGUUAUGAGAAACGUAGAAACAUUGGUUUCUCAGUGAUUACAUGCUCUUCCAAUGGAAGGGGGCCUGAUUCAGUGAAGAACGAAGUGAAGAGUGUGGAACAGUUGGCUCAAGAGAAAAGGCGAGCUGACCUGUCUGCUCGGACUGCCUCAGAAGAGUUCACUGUGAAUAAAUCUGGUUUCAAAUAGGAUUGCAGCUUGCAAAAGCCUUGGAGCUUUUCUGAUCGCUACUGACCUUCAGUCAAGUAGUUUAAAGUGGAAGAGAUGGGUUUUGCAGCAGAAUCUCAGCCAAAACAGGGAAUGCCCUGAGGAAUGUAAGGAAGCUAUUGCACCACUGAUGCUUGCUGCAGCUAGAUUUUCUGGUUUACCAAAGUACAUUCUCUGACAUUAGGCAACUAUUUCAAGAGAGAGAUAUGAACUGUCUGACUCAUUGUAUAGAUGGAAAGUUUUUCAUGUGUUCUACUGUAUGACAAGCUUCGCUUUCGAAAGGCACAAGCUGAGAGGUGAGAAAAAAUAGCGGAGAGUUGAUACAGUCAGCAAAAAAGCUCCCCAAACUAAGCGGGUUGUUGACAACAAACUACUGGAGGAUUCCCUCCAUAUGCUUUAUUACUGCACUGUUCCAAUACAAGAAAAAGAAGAUGACUGAUAGAUUUCAGUUUGGUUUCAAAAGCUGAUCAUCAUGGAUGCAUUGACCUUGGUGGCCUCUUCAAACUGACUGCAGGUUAUGAGAAAAGUGUAUCAAUUUCUGUCUUCUCCAACAAUGAUGUUUUACUGAAUCUUCAGUCUCAAACUGAGAAAAGGGUGUUGAUAAUUUCAUCAAAGGUGCCUGACGUUUGCGUGGCUGGUACUCAAAUGGAAAAUAUGGUUUUUGAAAUUGUCAGCUCUGAUGGUGUUGUUGAUGAUACUAUUCAUCAUGACGAGAAAAGUGGCCAAUUACAUAUAGCUACAAUAAUGGCCGGUUCAUCAUCCAUGGAGGAAUCCGUUCGAUACACAUUCAAGCAUGGACGCUGUACAAUACCAAGACCCCCACACCCUACCUCGAAGAGUAGGGACUUAUUAUAUUAAACCAAAUAACUAAGCCAGAAAAUAAAACACCACUAAAAAAUAAAAAUAUUCCGCCGGAACAUAUAUUUAGACAUAUGUAUGUAGUAUUGCACACACCUAUCAUCAGAGAUACAUCUUAUGGUACUGCCAUAAACACAUCUACCCAUUACAUAUGUUUGUUACAUAUGUUUGAUUACAAAUAUAAUAAUGAUUAUAAACUUUUGUUGUUUUGUAUAUUGCGUUGAUUAUGCAUUUCAAUACUAUAAUGAAUAAAUACCAUUCUUGCUUUA
Long non-coding RNA from Rosa rugosa (rugosa rose), 1526 nucleotides. RefSeq lists it as uncharacterized. The record is from RefSeq and is a predicted model, not a curated record. The transcript has 13 exons. NCBI's taxonomy places the organism in Eukaryota, Viridiplantae, Streptophyta, Magnoliopsida, Rosales, Rosaceae.